RNAcentral lists this non-coding RNA (45 nucleotides) under Schistosoma mattheei. Lineage: Eukaryota; Metazoa; Platyhelminthes; Trematoda; Strigeidida; Schistosomatidae. The record is from RNAcentral.
AUCCAAGUGAUGAGUCUCAAAUAGGACGAAAGGCGCGUCAUGGAU